GGCGAACGGGUGCGUAACACGUGAGGAAUCUGUCCUUCGGCGGGGGAUAACCGGCCCAACGGCCGGGUAAUACCGCGUACGUCGGUCGCGUCGCAUGGCGUGACCGGGAAAGCAGCAAUGCACCGAAGGAGGACCUCGCGGCCUAUCAGCUUGUUGGCGGGGUAAUGGCCCACCAAGGCGACGACGGGUAGCUGGUCUGAGAGGAUGAUCAGCCACAUUGGGACUGAGACACGGCCCAG
Molecule: ribosomal RNA, 239 nt
Filed under: uncultured bacterium
Lineage: Bacteria
Description: partial 16S ribosomal RNA
Rfam family: Bacterial small subunit ribosomal RNA
Source: RNAcentral